This 273-nucleotide non-coding RNA is filed under the name Anaerolineaceae bacterium. RNAcentral's name for it is "T-box sequence". It matches the Rfam family "T-box leader". Rfam says of the family: Uncharged tRNA acts as the effector for transcription antitermination of genes in the T-box leader family. T-boxes are found upstream of many aminoacyl-tRNA synthetase genes and some amino acid biosynthetic genes usually in Gram-positive bacteria. The anticodon of a specific tRNA base pairs to a specifier sequence within the T-box motif, and the NCCA acceptor tail of the tRNA base pairs to a conserved bulge in the T-box antiterminator hairpin. Lineage: Bacteria; Bacillati; Chloroflexota; Anaerolineae; Anaerolineales; Anaerolineaceae. The record is from RNAcentral.
UCAACUGCUUUGAUGAAAACGAGUAAGGGUGGCCUAUCGCCACAGCGAGCCUGGAAAGGUGCAAGCCAGGCGCGUAAUCCACCCCGAAAAUCCUUUUGGAGCAGGCAACCGAACAGGGCCUCUUGCCCCCAGUAGAUUUGCCCGGUUUAACCCACCGUUACCCCGGUUCCCCUGUCGAGCUGUUUUUGCUCCGCAGGCGGCAAUAAGCGGACACAAUUUGUCAAAUUGGGUGGUACCGCGAGAGAACUUUAUUCACUAACUCUCGUCCCUUUG